Molecule: Y RNA, 121 nt
Filed under: Prolemur simus (greater bamboo lemur)
Lineage: Eukaryota; Metazoa; Chordata; Mammalia; Primates; Lemuridae
Description: Y RNA (ENSPSMG00000007951.1)
Rfam family: Y RNA
About the family: Y RNAs are components of the Ro ribonucleoprotein particle (Ro RNP), in association with Ro60 and La proteins.
Source: Rfam by way of RNAcentral
GGCUGGUCUGACGGUAGUGAGUUAGUGAGUUAACUCAAUUGACUGUUCACAGUCAGUAACAGAUCAAACUCCUUAUUCUAUACUCUCUCCCCUUUUCACUACUGCUCUUGACUGGUCUUAA